This 626-nucleotide ribosomal RNA is filed under the name uncultured bacterium. RNAcentral's name for it is "bacterial SSU rRNA". It matches the Rfam family "Bacterial small subunit ribosomal RNA", at positions 704 to 1328 of the family's 1533-position model. The record is from RNAcentral.
GAACACCAGUGGCGAAGGCGACUUUCUGGACUGUAACUGACGCUGAGGUACGAAAGCGUGGGUAGCGAACAGGAUUAGAUACCCUGGUAGUCCACGCCGUAAACGAUGGAUACUAGGUGUAGGGGGUAUCGACCCCCCCUGUGCCGGAGUUAACGCAAUAAGUAUCCCGCCUGGGGAGUACGGUCGCAAGACUGAAACUCAAAGGAAUUGACGGGGGCCCGCACAAGCAGCGGAGCAUGUGGUUUAAUUCGAAGCAACGCGAAGAACCUUACCAGGGCUUGACAUCCCGAUGACCGGUACAGAGAUGUACCUUCCCUUCGGGCAUUGGAGACAGGUGGUGCAUGGUUGUCGUCAGCUCGUGUCGUGAGAUGUUGGGUUAAGUCCCGCAACGAGCGCAACCCCUAUCCUUAGUUGCCAUCAGUUAAAGCUGGGCACUCUAAAGAGACUGCCGGGGAUAACUCGGAGGAAGGUGGGGAUGACGUCAAAUCAUCAUGCCCCUUAUGUCCUGGGCUACACACGUGCUACAAUGGCCUGUAACAGAGGGAAGCGAAGCCGUAAGGCGGAGCAAAACUCAGAAACCAGGUCCCAGUUCGGAUUGUGGGCUGCAACUCGCCCACAUGAAGUCG